This 239-nucleotide unclassified non-coding RNA is filed under the name uncultured fungus. RNAcentral describes it as "sequence contains ITS2". The stretch from base 1 to 52 matches the Rfam family "5.8S ribosomal RNA", at positions 103 to 154 of the family's 154-position model. Lineage: Eukaryota; Fungi. The record is from RNAcentral.
AACGCACAUUGCGCCCUGUGGUAUUCCGCAGGGCAUGCCUGUUCGAGCGUCAUUAUAACCACUCAAGCCUCGCUUGGUAUUGGGGUUCGCAGCUCUGCGGCCUCUAAAAUCAGUGGCGGUGCCUGUAGGCUCUGAGCGUAGUAAUUCUUCUUGCUAUAGAGUCCUAUGGGUUCCCUGCCAAAACCCCCAUACUUUGAUAGGUUGACCUCGGAUCAGGUAGGGAUACCCGCUGAACUUAA